Molecule: ribosomal RNA, 440 nt
Filed under: uncultured bacterium
Lineage: Bacteria
Description: partial 16S ribosomal RNA
Rfam family: Bacterial small subunit ribosomal RNA
Source: RNAcentral
CCUACGGGAGGCAGCAGUGGGGAAUAUUGCACAAUGGGGGAAAGCCUGAUGCAGCGACGCCGCGUGAGUGAAGAAGGCUUUCGGGAUGUAAAGCUCUAUUAGCAGGGAAGAAAAUUACGGUACAUGUUUAAGAUUCCCCGGCUAACUACGUGCCAGAAGACGCGGUAAUACGGAGGGGGCAAGCGUUAUCCGGAUUUACUGGGUGUAAAGGGGGCGUAGACGGCAGGACAAGUCUGGAGUGAAAUGCCGGGGCUUAACCCCGGAACUGCUUUGGAAACUGUGAGGCUAGAGUGCAGGAGAGGUAAGUGGAAUUCCUGGUGUAGCGGUGAAAUGCGUAGAUAUUAGGAGGAACACCAGUGGCGAAGGCGGAUUACUGGACGGUAACUGACGGUGAGGCGCGAAAGCGUGGGGAGCAAACAGGAUUAGAUACCCUAGUAGUC